UCUGGUGACAAUGGCAAGGAGGUCACACCUGUUCCCAUGCCGAACACAGAAGUUAAGCUCCUUAGCGCCGAUGGUAGUUGGAUUUA
RNAcentral lists this ribosomal RNA (86 nucleotides) under Staphylococcus sp. EGD-HP3. The record is from RNAcentral. RNAcentral also lists the same sequence under 1 other name. Lineage: Bacteria; Bacillati; Bacillota; Bacilli; Caryophanales; Staphylococcaceae.